RNAcentral lists this ribosomal RNA (429 nucleotides) under Chloroflexota bacterium. RNAcentral describes it as "Chloroflexi bacterium partial 16S ribosomal RNA". It matches the Rfam family "Bacterial small subunit ribosomal RNA", at positions 355 to 776 of the family's 1533-position model. Lineage: Bacteria; Bacillati; Chloroflexota. The record is from RNAcentral.
UGGGGAAUAUUGCACAAUGGGCGCAAGCCUGAUGCAGCCAUGCCGCGUGUGUGAAGAAGGCCUUCGGGUUGUAAAGCACUUUCAGCGGGGAGGAAGGCGGUGAGGUUAAUAACCUCAUCGAUUGACGUUACCCGCAGAAGAAGCACCGGCUAACUCCGUGCCAGCAGCCGCGGUAAGACGGAGGGUGCAAGCGUUAAUCGGAAUUACUGGGCGUAAAGCGCACGCAGGCGGUCUGUCAAGUCGGAUGUGAAAUCCCCGGGCUCAACCUGGGAAGUGCAUUCGAAACUGGCAGGCUAGAGUCUUGUAGAGGGGGGUAGAAUUCGAGGUGUAGCGGUGAAAUGCGUAGAGAUCUGGAGGAAUACCGGUGGCGAAGGCGUCCCCCUGGACAAAGACUGAAGCUCAGGUGCGAAAGCGUGGGGAGCAACCAGG